This 4684-nucleotide unclassified non-coding RNA is filed under the name Portunus trituberculatus (swimming crab). RNAcentral describes it as "membrane metallo-endopeptidase-like 1, transcript variant X2". The record is from RNAcentral. Lineage: Eukaryota; Metazoa; Arthropoda; Malacostraca; Decapoda; Portunidae.
CUAAUCCUCUCUCUCUCUCUCUUUUGGCAGGCAUCACCACCAGCAUGGAGCGAAACACCAAAAUUAAGCUGGGAAUUCUGGCUAUUGUUGUUGUGUGCAUUUGUUUCAUCAUCAUUGUGAGCGUGGUUGCCCAUCCCACGUCCAACCAGGAUACAAAAAGUAAAGGUCACGAAGGCAUUAUUCCUGAAACCCCAACCACUCCUCCAGAAAUUGUACCUAACAAUGAAACAAUUAAUAUUACACAGAAUGACAUUACCACCACCGCCACCAGUGUGAGUCAGGCAAGGGGCAUGAUUGAAAUGAUGGACAGUACUCAGGAGGCUUGUGAGAAUUUCUACCAAUACGCCUGUGGAGGAGAGAUGAGCAAGUCAUACAUCCAGGCGAGGCAGCCUGGCACCAUGGCAAGGAUGAUGAUCAAAGAGGAGCUGGAGAAGCAGAGCAGCAGCGACAGCAGCACUGGCGCAGGCAAAAUGAAGGCUUUGUAUGACAGCUGCUUCAACUCAGGGAGUCAGGACGCCAACAAGGACCGGGCUAAACCUAUCAGGGACUUGUUUGGUGUCUAUAAAUUCCGUGCCGACAAAAGCUUUAUCUUUGACCUGAGUGACGCUUUGGGCUACAUGAUGAAUAAAGGAUUCAUGCCGUUCUUCACCAUGGAGCUUGAUAUCGAUCCUAAGAACAAAGAGGCCUUCAUGUUGAGCCGACAUCCCACUGUGCCCGGCUCACGUUUCACUGAAGAUUUGGCCAGGAAGGUUUGCCUGGAGAGACACUAUACCUACCUCCAAUCCCUGGGCAAUUCCUCCUAUACUGUUAAUGAAGAAUAUGAAAAAUUUAGAAAGUGUGUGGGAAGUGGGGAUGGACUGGAGGCAAGACUGGUCAGAAUGAAGGAUGCUGUGGUUCAGCUGCAACUCAUGAACCACCUGACUGAUGAGGUGGCAGAGAAAUUGUUGUCUGAAACUAUAAGCAACACAAGGAAGUUCUUGAUAGAGCUUUCUGAAAUGCAGUCCUACCUACCAGACCUCAUCUUAGACCUUGCUAACUGGAACAUUCAUUCCACUGAUUAUGUCACUGAUCUUCCUAACACGCCUAUCAACUGGGAGACAGUGCUCAAGAAAUUUCUCAACAUUGAUUAUGCAAACAUUGAAACGUACAGAGUUUCAAAGUACCAGGGCUUGGAUAUUGUGAUAAAGGUGUUGCAAGACUACUAUGAAUUAAGCCAACAAGAAAUGAACAACAUCCUGGUGCUGUUGUGGGCCGAGCGUAUCUACACAGACUUUGUAAAGCCGGUGGAGACCAGUGUGGGGAAUCCAGAGUACUGUCUCAAUGCUGCCAUUGCCCUCAUGGAAGACACCGCCUCCUAUCUCUACCUGCAGGCUGUGGCUCCAGACAUCAAAGCUCGCAAUGCACAGAUUGACACGAUUGCAGAGAACAUCAAGAGGGAAGCACUGAGGUUGAUGGAGAACAGUACUAGAAAGGAAGACCUCCAGGACAAGCUGAAAGACAUGAUGGACAAUGUGGUUAAACUCAACAAAGUAAAUGAAGACAUAUCCACAAGUAGCAUGGAGCAGGUCAGCCUGAAUGGUGACUUCCUACACAACAGCCUGGUGCUCCUUGCCCAUCGCAGCACUCUCACCAAGAAGUUCUAUGAUGAAGGCCCAUCUUAUAAUUACAGGGUGUUUGCACGUCCCUAUGACCCAUCUGGUUUCUACAGCUACCCACUCAACAGAAUCAUGAUCCCAUACGCUGCACAGGAACCCUUCCACACACUCAACAAGAUGCCAGAAUACCUCCAGUACGCCACCGUGGGUUACCGAAUCAGUCACCUCUUGUGGCAUGGCUAUGAUACCUCAGGAAAAGCCUACACUGUAUCUGGCCAAAAAAGUUUAAGGGAUAUGGCAACACUGCACAAAAACCUCAAGAACAGUUAUAUUGGUCCAAGAAGCUACACAAACCACAAAGGUCUCACAGCAAACUAUAAUAUGACUGACCUGACACUCAAUGAAAUUUGGGCCGACACGAAGGGAAUUGACUUGGCAUGGCAUGCUUACAUCAACAGGAACCCAGGUGAGACACCAAUAACAAAGCCAGAGAUCUAUGAAGAUGGUAAAUAUUGUCAUGGUGGUGGUGGUAGUGUGACUUCAAAGCCAGCCAGACAUCGCCUCAGAGCCAUCCAGGAGCCACUGUACUCUCCAGAACUGGACCUUUCAUCCCUUAACAUGUCCCCUGAACAGUUGUAUUACCUUCAAUGGGCUCAGCAAUAUUGCAGUGACACCAAUGAUCUGAGAAUGCUGGAAGUGAUGGAAAGCAGACAGCCACCUGACAUAGAGAGGGUGAAUUAUGUGACGCGAAUGAGUGAAGGGUUCCGUAAGGCAUUCCAGUGUCACUUAUAAGAGAAGUGAUGGGGCCAAGCACUGACCCUUGUGGAACUCCACUGGUUACCUUCUUCCACUCGGACUUCCUUCCCUUCACCACUGUUCGCAUUUCUCUUCCCACUAACCGGAGACGAGCCGUCCUCUCUCAGCGACAGCGACGACGUGUGUGUCUGUGUGUGUGUGUGUGUGCUACUGACGAUUUUUGAAAAGGAUAUACAGUCACGAAUCCUUACUAAAGCCAAAAACCUGUGAGAGAUUUGGCAUCUAUGAAUGAGUUACCUGGUAUGGAUAUCUCUUAUCCUGUCAUUGAUGAUGAUGUGGGUCAUAUGAAUGAUAACGCAGAACUUUAUCAGCAAUAUGCAUGGAUGGUAAGCUAGUUGUGCUGAAAAAUCUCAAAACUCUGUAGAAACACUUCAUUAGUGGUAAGACUUCGGAAACGUGACACAUGGGUGUCAGAAUUAGAUACCUGCAUUGUGUCUCCCUGUCUGGUAAAUCAUAUUCUCGACUUUGCUGUAAUUAGGAGAUUAGAUCUUCCUUCUGACCACAACCCCAUCAGUAUUUCUUUGAAUGACCCAGGGAUACACUUGGAUAAUGUGUUGACCAGGGCUGCCUUGCUGGGAGACCACGCUGUGCUGCAUGGCAGUGUGGCGAGGUGUGACCUGGCAAGGGGACCUGUGAAAUUCUCUGAUAUAGAUAAGUGUAUGUUUGCUGUUAACGUUGCAAGUAUGGAUGUACCUAGAGAUGUUAAUGAUACCAAUGUUUUUGCUAAGGGCGUGUCGGAUCCUCUGUACGACUGUGCUCGGAAAAGCAGGCAAACGAGUGAAGCAAAUGUAAACCAGAGUGAGGUAGGUGGGACAGGCUUUUAAAUGAUGUGGAUGAUGCUAGAGUAUAGAACGCCAUUAGUUGGAAGGGUGACUUUGAGAUGUCAGGGAGUAGUUCAACGGAUCUUCCUAGUGAUGAGUUUAAGCGACACUUUGAAGGUGUGUUGAACCCCCUCCCGAUUGCACCACCAACCCACGUCAGUACAGUUGUAAUAAUACUGGUGUUGGAUGAUCCUAUCUCACCCGUAUUGAGCACAUUGUUGCUUUACGCCUGCUAACAAAUAUUGCUCGCAGAGAGAAGCAUAAGCUAUUUGUAACCUUUGUUCAUUUUAGUAAAGCUUAUGAUGUGGUCCCUCUUGCCAAAUUGUUUGUAAUUUUAAAGUGUAUUGGGUGGGGUAUGUUAAUGUUGGCUGCGUUGGUAGCUAUGUAGUGUCACUGAGUCGGUGAUUGGAAGUACCGUUAUGACCGCCACGUUAGGGGUUCAUCAGGGCUCGCCUACGUCUUGUCUGUUAUUCACUGUGUUUAUGAAUGAGCUUAUCAGGAAGCUCAAGUGUAGUUGCGAGUCCGACGGGUUCCAAGACUGGCUUCACACACCAGUGUUAAUGGAUGACACAGUGUUGCUAUCCACAACCAGAGAAGGCAUGAUAAACAAAAUUACGAUUCAAAAAACUUCUGCAGUAAUUAUGGCAUGAUUAUCAAUGCAUCAAAGACCAAGUUGUAUGUUAUUGAUGGUUCACAAGAGGAGACAGAGCCGGUUAAUUAGUUAUCAGCCCCUGCACGACAUACAUGUACCUUGGAUCGCCCUUCACAAGUGACAGGUUUGCUUUGUCCGCUUUGAAAUUACAUGCAAAAGAUAAGUUAUGUCAUGUACUCAAAUUUGUUUCAUUUGUUAAAAAGAAUAAUGAUGUCCCUUUCAUUGUCAAACGAAGGGUAUUCCAGGCAGCAUUAAUGUCAUCAUUGCUUUAUGGCUGCAAAUCAUGGGUGGGGGCUGAUCUUCAGCUUAUUGUCAAAACUCUAUAAUUGGGCACUAAAGCAUCUAUUGGUAGUGAGGAAAUCCACCCCAAAUGACGUAUGUUACACCGAGAUAGGAUACCCAUCAUUACCAGACUUGGUGAAUUUCAGCCAACAAAUUUUUCUCAAAAAUGCAAUUAGAAAGGUCGGAGUUGCCAGAUGAUCCCUUGAUUUUUUCAAUUGAAAUAGCUACUAGAAGCAACUCCACAUUAAGCAGGACUAUUCAAAGAUUUAAAGAUACAAAUGUACCAGACAUGAAUCAUUUAAUGCAAAAUGUAUAUGAGCACAUCACAGCGUCUACUGGCUCAAGGUCUGAAGUGUACCGACAUUUGCAUCCCAAUUAUAUGCUUCAUGGUUUAUACAGGCAACCCCUGCUUAACGAAGGGGUUUCGUUCCUAAAAAACCCUUCGUUAAGCGAAACUUCGUUAAGCGAACCGAUUAUAGCAAGUUUAACUCCUGACUUGAACUUCCAUCGAGAGUAAA